CGGCUAUAAUAACACAUACAGUCAGUACACCCAGCCUGCAUGGAAAAACGCCGGAGGAGCUCACCCUUCUCCUCAUCCAGUUACGGAGACACCAGGCCAUGAUGGCAGGUGUGCGCAACAAUGCGCUGGCCCACCUCCAGCAGUUGUCUCGGGUGAAGGCUGAUGACACAUACAUGCACUUGAAGAAGGACCUGGAAUAUUUAGAUCUGAAGGUGGGACCUCUCCAUUUCUGUCUCUCUAUUCCUGUCUUACCUUCUGUAUUAACACACUAACACAGCACAGAAACCUCACUUGAGGCAAGGAAUCAAGAAUUGGCUUUAUUUC
Long non-coding RNA from Cyprinus carpio (common carp), 324 nucleotides. RefSeq lists it as uncharacterized. The record is from RefSeq and is a predicted model, not a curated record. The transcript is spliced from 3 exons. Lineage: Eukaryota; Metazoa; Chordata; Actinopteri; Cypriniformes; Cyprinidae.